RNAcentral lists this long non-coding RNA (658 nucleotides) under Mytilus galloprovincialis (Mediterranean mussel). The record is from RNAcentral. Lineage: Eukaryota; Metazoa; Mollusca; Bivalvia; Mytilida; Mytilidae.
UAUUAAUUCAGUUUUCUUUUGAAAUAUUUUAAAACUGGAUUCGACGUAGGUAAAUUGUGGGAGAUAGUUAGUUUGAACUCUGGCCUGGUCAACUUAAAUUCUAAAAAAAAAAAAUUGUGUGUGUCUAUGCUAAGCAUGCGAUAUCUGCUAAAAACUGUGGUCACACCUUACCAGAUAGCUCGAACUAACGCCGAAAGGAUAAACAAAAGUUUUACAUUUACAAAAUUUUUGCAUCCGUUAGGAGUCCGCGAUGUAAUGACCAAAUAAAACGGACGUGUAAUAUGCCGAAAAAUGGGGUGGAAUAGGAAUAAGAAAAAAAAAAUAAUGUCAGAAUAAAAAGCCAAUAAUUUUGCCUGAUCAUGAUUAAGAAGUUGAGCCAAAAAUAUUAAUGAUACCAAAGAAAACUAACAUACCAAUAAUUGAUUUUUCUUACGCGAUUUGUUUUCAAUUUGUAUGUAUCCGUUUUAUUAUCAAUGUUCUUUCUGUGGUACGAUUGCCAAUGAUACAACUCUCCACAAGAGACCAAAAUGACACAUAAAGUAACAACUAGAGGUCGCCGUACGGCCUUCAAUAAUAAGCAAAGCCCAUACUGCAUAGACAGCUAUAAAAGGCCCCGAAAUGACAAUGUAAAACAAUUGUAACGAGAAAACUAACGGCC